AUGCUCACUUCGGUAGCGCAUACACUUAAAUUGGAACAAUACAGAGAGGUUUAGCACGGCCCCUGCACAGGGAUGAUACGCAAAUUCGUGAAGUGUUCCAUAUUUUU
Fukomys damarensis (Damara mole-rat) is the source of this 107-nucleotide small nuclear RNA. Lineage: Eukaryota; Metazoa; Chordata; Mammalia; Rodentia; Bathyergidae. The record is from Ensembl.